CAAAGCAAAGCUAAAAUAGAAUAGCAUUUCACUUACAUUGAAAAGAAUUACUGUGCAAAUCAGUUUGUUUUGA
RNAcentral lists this transfer RNA (73 nucleotides) under Echinoecus nipponicus. RNAcentral describes it as "tRNA-Val". It matches the Rfam family "tRNA". Rfam says of the family: Transfer RNA (tRNA) molecules are approximately 80 nucleotides in length. Their secondary structure includes four short double-helical elements and three loops (D, anti-codon, and T loops). The record is from RNAcentral. Lineage: Eukaryota; Metazoa; Arthropoda; Malacostraca; Decapoda; Pilumnidae.